Molecule: long non-coding RNA, 606 nt
Organism: Ostrinia nubilalis (European corn borer)
Lineage: Eukaryota; Metazoa; Arthropoda; Insecta; Lepidoptera; Crambidae
Exons: 3
Source: RefSeq, a predicted model, not a curated record
GAAUGGCCGGCGCUACAAGAACCUAAAUGGGGCACCGAGGCGGAGGCCGACGAGAACACAAUAUACCAGCGAGUGCCGCUCAACUACCUGCAAAUCGUGAACAACAUAAUCAAGCACCGCUGCGCUGACGGCACGGCGGUGACGUUCGUACAACUGCCGCCGCCGCCGAAACUGCCCGCCGCCUCCACGCCGGAAAGCGUCGCCGUUUGCGAGCAGUAUCUAAAGAUUUUAGACGAAUUCACGAAGGAUCUCUCGCCCACAAUCCUGGUUCGCGGGCUCAAGUCGGUGACGUCUACUGCACUAUGAUUCACAUAAGUACGCUUAUUUAUAAUAUUAGCUAAAUUUUAUGGGAACAAAUCUUGUUUGACUCUCUUGAUCAUGAACUUCGAACUCCUAUGUUCUUCUGAUUAAUUUCGUUGCGGGUCCAAUGACAGUUUAACUUUCCCCCGGGACAAACUUGACCUUCAUUGGUUGGGUUUUUAUGGCGGUCAAGCUGUAGAUCCUGGCUACUGCACAGGAGUUGCAGCAGUGAGAAUAGUCCCGCUUCUUGACAUGACAUCAAAAUUGUCAUUGACAUUAUGUGAAAUAAAUACUUUUCGGAAUGAU